UACAGAGGCCCCAAGCGUUGUUCGGAAUUACUGGGCGUAAAGCGGGUGUAGGCGGUUACUCAAGUCAGAUGUGAAAGCCCGGGGCUCAACCCCGGAACUGCAUUUGAAACUGGGUGGCUGGAGUGCAGUAGAGGAAGAUGGAAUUCCAGGUGUAGGGGUGAAAUCCGUAGAUAUCUGGAGGAAUACCAAUGGCGAAGGCAGUCUUCUGGUCUGUAACUGACGCUGAGACCAAAAAGCGUGGGUAGCAAACAGG
This 253-nucleotide unclassified non-coding RNA is filed under the name uncultured Pseudobdellovibrionaceae bacterium. RNAcentral's name for it is "uncultured Bdellovibrionaceae bacterium contains 16S-23S intergenic spacer region". It matches the Rfam family "Bacterial small subunit ribosomal RNA", at positions 524 to 776 of the family's 1533-position model. Lineage: Bacteria; Pseudomonadati; Bdellovibrionota; Bdellovibrionia; Bdellovibrionales; Pseudobdellovibrionaceae. The record is from RNAcentral.